Long non-coding RNA from Oncorhynchus keta (chum salmon), 2699 nucleotides. RefSeq lists it as uncharacterized. The record is from RefSeq and is a predicted model, not a curated record. The transcript has 3 exons. Lineage: Eukaryota; Metazoa; Chordata; Actinopteri; Salmoniformes; Salmonidae.
GACAAAUGGAUUCCAUGUUUGCAGGAAAACACGCUGGAGGCACAGGAAAACUUUGUUGUUUAUGAAGAACACGUGAAAACAAUCAAAUCCGAAUUAUCUUCCUGUUGUUCCAGCUUUUGUCUUUGCAGUUUUCAGUCUGUUUGCCAGGAGUGUCGCCACCCAGCGAGCAAGUCUAGUUUCCCUGUCCCGAUGGAGGUCCGACCAGACGAACAUGCAAUAAUCAGCCCCAGUCGUCCUGGCUCAGCGGGCCCCAGAGCUGCAGCCCUCGGUCCCGGGACUACACGGCCUUUCAUCUCAAUCCCAUCCAAUCGAUCCCCAGCUUCACCAAAACCACCACCACCCACACCACCGCCUCCGACCCUCAACCUCCAACCCUUGACCCCUCCACCCCCAGUUCUGGCUCCCUGGCGAAGGGUUACACAAGGAUUACAUCAGUAAAAAGAUGGUUGUGGUCUAAGUCCUUGUCAUUGUCGAUGUGUUUCUCAAGAAACAACAAGAAAAGAGCUCACCCAUUCACCCCACAAUAAAUUAGAUGUCCUACGGACUAGUGUGGCUGUUCUAUGCAAACAUGUUGUAAUGGACUCACAGGCCCAAGAAACCUUUCUGCUGUAUAUCAAGUUUUAAUGUCACAUGCACAAGUACAGUAUAAUGCCUUUCUUGAAAGCUAAAAACCCAACGAUGCAGUAAUCAAUAUCAAUGUAGUACUAAAAAUAACACGAGGUAGAACGAAAAUAAGAACAGCAGAAGUAAGUAUGGGGUCAGUUCCAAUACCAUAUUUACAAUGUGUAGGGAUACUGGAGUGAUAGCGGUAGAUACAGUUGAAGUCUGAAGUUUACAUACACUUAGGUUGGAGUCAUUAAAACUUAUUUUUCAACCACUCCACAAAUUUCUUGAUAACAAACCGUAGUUUUGGCAAGUAGGUUAGGACAUCUACUUUGUGCAUGAUAAAAGUAAUUUUUCCAACAACUGUUUACAGACAGAUUAUUUCACUUAUAAUUCACUGUAUCACAAUUCCAGUGGGUCAGAAGUUUACAUACACUAAGUUGACUGUGCCUUUAAACAGCUUGGAAAAUUCCAGAAAAUGAUGUCAUAGCUUUAGAAGCUUCUGAUAGGCUAAUUGACAUCAUUUGAGUCAAUUGGAGGUGUACCUGUGGAUGGAUUUCAAGGCCUACCUUCAAACUCAGCAUCUCUUUGCUUGACAUCAUGGGAAAAUCAAAUUAAAUCAGCCAAGAACUCAGAUUUUUUUUAGACCUCCACAAGUCUGGUUCAUCCUUGGGAGCAAGCUACCAAAUGUCUGAAGGUACGACACUCAUCUGUACAAACAAAAGUACGCAAGUAUAAACACCAUGGGACCACGCAGCAGUCACACCGCUCUCUGUCUCCCAGAGAUGGACAUACUUUGGUGUGAAAAGUGCAAAUCAUUCCCAGAACAACAGCAAAGGACCUUGUGAAGAUGCUGGAGGAAACAGGUACAAACGUAUCUAUAUCCAUAGUAAAAACGAGUCCUAUAUCGACAUAACCUGAAAGGCCGCUCAGCAAGAAAGAAGCCACUGCUCCAAAACCGCCAUAAAAAAAGGCAGACUACGGUUUGCAACUGCACAUGGGGACAAAGAUUGUUAUUUUUGGAGAAAUGUCCUCUGGUCUGAUGUUUGGCCAUAAAUACCAUCGUUAUGUUUGGAGGACAAAGGGGGAGGCUUGCAAGCCAAAGAACACCAUCCCAACCGUGAAGCACGGGGGUGGCAGGAUCAUGUUGUGGGGGUGCUUUGCUGCAGGAGGGACACUUCAGAAAAUAGAUGGCAUAAUGUUGAUAUAUUGAAGCAACAUCUCAAGACAUCAGUCAGGAAGUUAAAGCUUGCUCACAAAUGGGUCUUUCAAAUGGACAAUGACCCCAAGCACACUUCCAAAGUUGUGGCAAAUUGGCUUAAGGACAACAAAGUAAAGGUAUUGGAGUGGCCAACACAUAGCCCUGACCUCAAUCCUAUAGAAAAAUUGUGGGCAGAACGGAAAAAGCGUGUACGAGCAAGGAGGCCUACAAACCUGACUCAGUUACACCAGCUCUGUCAAGAGGAAUGGGCCAAAAUUCACCCAACUUAUUGUGGGAAGCUUGUGGAUGGCUACCCGAAACAUUUGACCCAAGUUAAAUCAUUUAAAGGCAGUGCUACCAAAUACUAAUCGAGUGUAUGUAAACUUCUGACCCACUGGGAUUGUGAUGAUAGAAAUAAAAAUAUUAAAUAAAUCACUCUCUCAACUAUUAUUCUGACAUUUCACAUUCUUAAAAUAAAGUGGUGAUCCUAACUGACCUAAGACAGGGAAUUUUUACUUGGAUUAAAUGUCAGGAAUUGUGAAAAACUGAGUUUAAAUGUAUUUGCCUAAGGUGCAUGUAAACUUCCGACUUCAACUGUAUGUAUUGGGUUAAGGUGGCUAGGCAUCAGGAUAUAUGAUAAACAGCAGUGGAUGAUUGUAUGUGAAUGUAUAUGCAUGUAGAGCAGUGGUCACCAACCUUUUUUGAUUCAAGAUCACUUUUGCAGUCAAAAAGCAAAAUUAUUUUUAAACAUGACUUUAAAAAGGUAACAUUAACCUAAUAAAAACAAUUCUGUAAGAAUGGGGUUUGUGCAGUAGGCCUAAUACAUUAUCAUAGCAUAUUGGCUAUAUUCCUGGCCUGCCAAUAUUAUUCAUCUCAGACCAUAUUAUAUUUCAAA